Long non-coding RNA from Felis catus (domestic cat), 2283 nucleotides. RefSeq lists it as uncharacterized. The transcript has 3 exons. Lineage: Eukaryota; Metazoa; Chordata; Mammalia; Carnivora; Felidae. The record is from RefSeq and is a predicted model, not a curated record.
CACAAAACAAUAUGGUGUUUUUAAGGGCUCAUGGUCUCUCUGAGUAUCACAGGUGGGAAUGAGGCAUCUAACAGUCAGAAGGAGCUCACCCUGGUUGUGUCCAGCUUACUGAUCAAGUGCCAAGUGGCCCAGUGGAGUCCUCCUCUGAUGGGUGCCCAGGGGCCCUUCUCUUUGUGGGCUCCCUCCUUCCUCACCUCUGCCUUGGUCCUUGGCCUUUUUCUGCUCAGCAGCUGGGCUCCGGGUGAAGGGGCAGCUACGGUAUCUGUGGCUGACAGUGAUGGCUCUCACAGCAUAACAAGAAAGAGCACCGAUCAGAAUAAAUGAGGAUGCAAUUAGCAAGGUCACAGACGCUGACGUCAGCAGGCCAUGCGCAAAUCUGAAGGCCAAGAAGGAGUUCCCGGGCCGUAUGUCUUGGCUCAGUCCAGCACAACAAAAUGUCCCACACACUGGGUGGUUUACACAACAAGUACUUGUUUCUCACAGUUCUGGAGGCUGGGAAGACCAAGAUCAAGGAGUUAGCAGAUUGGGUUCCCGAUGAGACCUGCUUCCUGUCUCGCAGACGGCCACCUUCUCACUGUGUCCUCAUAUGGCAGAGAGAGCGACAGAGUGUGUUCCGUGCCUCUCCUCAUCUAUUACAAGGACGCUAAUCCCAUCCGCAAGACUUCACAAAACCUAAUUACCUCCCGAAAGCUAACCCUCCGAAUACCAUCCCACUGGGGAUUAGGGCUCCAACAUAGGGAUUUUAGAGGGACUAAAACAUCUAGUCUACACAGCAUGUGACUUGGACAAGUCACUGCCCCCCCCCCCCACAGAAGCUCAGUUUCCUUGUCUCCAAGAUGAGGAAAUUAUAAGUAAUUUGAGAUACCACACAUAAAGGAGCUGACACUUAGCAAGUUCUCAAUAAAUAAUCACUGCCUUGGAGCCCUCCUACGAAAUCGCCUCUCUCCCCCUUUGACUUAAAAUCUCAAGCAGCUGACGCCCAACUGGGGCUACCGUUACCAUUCUUGAUAGGACAGCUUUUGUGAAGGCUUUGUAUUUGCCUGAUUGAUGAGUUGGCUUUUGUUUUUAAGGGAGGAGCAUUUCAAACGGAGCCAUCCUACUUGUCCAUUAGCUGGGCUCCUUCCUUCUCUGCAGAACACAUGUAUCCGUAACCCAGUACGGAGAAGCUUCCUUGCGAUGAAACCCAAAAUGCCUGUUAUUACUCAGAUUAACACUGUCAUCAAUCAUCCACGUUCCGUGAGCAUCCACAAUUGGUGGGCGCUACAUAGACCAUGGAGGCAGACAUGCCUCGUGGGUUUCUAAUCUAAACAGACAGGUAGAGCAGAGACAAAGGGAAAGGGCAAGCGUGCAUCUGAGACUCUCCAGGCUUUCUUUACAUGCAACUGUCUGAUGAUGAAUCACAGGGAAAAAUUCAGCAAGCGGGAGGGUCUAUUAGAGAGCCCAGGGCCUCUUGCCUUUCCCCGGAGAGUCACGGAAACCGUAGCUGUUGGCCCAGGAGUCAGAGGGUGGGCCAGGCAGGGGACAUUCUGACCUUUCCCUCCUCAUUUAUGGAGAAGAGGAUGAAAGUUGGAUGAGUGUAGUAAAUUAUCAUGAUGCCUGUCAUCUCUAAAUUGCAGGACAUGAUGGGAAUAUGUGUUAUUUGUGCUACAUAGGGCAGAGGAUCGUCUACUUUGGUGCCAAAGGAGCACACUGAGUACAGAUAACAAGGGUUGGAGCCAAGCUCUUUAGAGACAGUUGGGGGCCCUCACCUUCUGAGGAAGUAGAAGGUAGGAGCCAGGAAGUCCAAGAAAGCCUGCUGGUAAGUCUAUUGGGCAACAAAUAAAGGUCAACAGUUGGAAAAAUCUAAGAGGGAAGGCAGUGAAAAAAUAAAAUGGCAGCUAUCAGGGGCAGCUGGUUGAGAUGAAUGGUUGCUAUUGAUAGAAGAACCACCCACCUGUGUGGGAAUAUUGAAGAAACCAACAGAGGUAGAAUGUGCCGGAAAGUAGAACGGUUGGCACUCCCAAGUUCCAAAGAUAACCAGGUUAAGUAAACCCUUCUUAAAAUCAGAAAGGAGACCGUGUGUAGGACUGGUCCUCAUAAGUAACAUCGAAACUCGUGGGUCUUUGGAGCUGAGUGCCAUCCUUACAAACUUCCCUUCUGAAUCUGGGAGUGCUACAAAUCCCCCCCAAAGUUCUGACUUUUUCCUCAUAUUAGUCCAUUUGUUCAUUUGAUCCAAGAGGGAGGCUCGAUUAAAAGACGUCCUAUGGAGGGGCACCUGGGUGGCUCAGCCAGUUAAGCAUCUGA